GGACAACCUACCCUCAGCACAGGGAUAAACCCGGGAAACUGGGUAUAAUACCCGAUAGUUCUGGAGAGCUGGAAUGCUAUCAGGACGAAAGCUCCGGCGGCCGAGGAUGGGUCUGCGGCCUAUCAGGUAGUAGUGGGUGUAAUGUACCUACUAGCCUACGACGGGUACGGGUCGUGAGAGCGAGAGCCCGGAGAUGGAUUCUGAGACACGAAUCCAGGCCCUACGGGGUGCAGCAGGCGCGAAAACUUUACAAUGCUGGCAACAGCGAUAAGGGGACCUCGAGUGCCAGGAUACAAUCUUGGCUGUCGUCGUGUCUAAAUAACACGGCAUAGCAAGGGCCGGGCAAGACCGGUGCCAGCCGCCGCGGUAACACCGGCGGCUCGAGUGGUAACCGCUAUUAUUGGGUCUAAAGGGUCUGUAGCCGGCCGGAUAAGUCUUUUGGGAAAUCUGGCAGCUUAACUGUCAGGCUUUCAGAAGAUACUGUUCGGCUCGAGGCCGGGAGAGGUGAGAGGUACUUCAGGGGUAGGGGUGAAAUCUUGUAAUCCUUGAAGGACCACCAGUGGCGAAGGCGUCUCACCAGAACGGACCUGACGGCAAGGGACGAAAGCUAGGGGCACGAACCGGAUUAGAUACCCGGGUAGUCCUAGCCGUAAACGAUACUCGCUAGGUGUCAGCCACGGUGCGACCGUGGUUGGUGCCGUAGGGAAGCCGUGAAGCGAGCCACCUGGGAAGUACGGCCGCAAGGCUGAAACUUAA
RNAcentral lists this ribosomal RNA (756 nucleotides) under uncultured archaeon. RNAcentral's name for it is "bacterial SSU rRNA". It matches the Rfam family "Archaeal small subunit ribosomal RNA", at positions 102 to 859 of the family's 1478-position model. The record is from RNAcentral.